GAUGAGAACGUAGCGAAAUGCGAUACGUAAUGUGAAUUGCAGAAUUUCUGAAUCAUCGAAUCUUUGAACGCACCUUGCGCUCUGUGGUUAUUCCGCAGAGCAUGUUUGUUUGAGUGUCGCGAUACUUCUCAACCCCGCUUCAUUAACUUGAAGUAGUUUGGGCUUGGAUCAUGGUCGUUGCCGGCAUUAGCCAGGCUCGAUUGAAAUACAACAAGCUGGAUGAUGCUAUUAGCGGCUUGAACCUAACGUUGUAAUUACUUAUUCGUUAGGCUACGCUUUCAGUGUUCAAUGAGCUUACCGAAUUGAUUAAGAACUUUAUUGUUCAAUUUGACCUCAAAUCAAGCAGGACUACCCGCUGAACUUAAGCAUAUCAAUAAGCGGAGGA
This 385-nucleotide unclassified non-coding RNA is filed under the name soil metagenome. Its description in RNAcentral is "partial contains 5.8S ribosomal RNA, internal transcribed spacer 2, and large subunit ribosomal RNA". The stretch from base 5 to 119 matches the Rfam family "5.8S ribosomal RNA", at positions 40 to 154 of the family's 154-position model. The record is from RNAcentral.